AAUGGGCUGCCUUUGCUCAUUAGAAGCAGGGAGCUCUCUUCUUCUUCCCCUGGAUCCUUCCUUUAAAAUAGUUUCUUUUGUCUUAAGUUUUCAUUUCUACGUUUGUCCCUUCAUUCAGUCUCUUAAAUGACGGUCUCAAGCAGUAACAGUAGUAAUUGCUGUAAUGACGGUCUCAAGUAGUAACCAGGGCACUCUGCCACAAGUGGCACCUGAACAGGGACUAACAGGGACUAUCAAGAACAAACGGAGACCUGAAGAGACCUGAAGGGAACUGAAGAGGUCUGCAGGGACAAAUAGAGAUAAGUAGGGAUAAAUAGAGAUAAAUAGAGACAAAUAGAGAUAGGUAAGGAAUGACAGGGACUUGCAGGAAGUAACAGGGACCAUAGGGACAGAUAGGGAUAGAUAAAGACUAGCAAAGACUAGCCGAGAUUAGCAAAGACCAGCAAGGACUAGCAGAGACUAGCAAAGACUAGCAGAAACUUGCAGGGACAGGCAGAGACAGAUAGGGACAGAUAGGGUCCUACAGGGACUUGAACGAGGAAGAUCUGCUGGAAAAGAAAAGAACUACAACCAACCAGAUGAACAAGAAACCCUGUUACAAGUCUGCUGGCAGCAACAUAAGUGACACAAAGUGAACCGGGUUCUAUAAAUUACCAUGGAAAGUGGUGAGCCAACGAUUUGGCAGAACAAAACCCUGAGGAUAUGCAAACAAAAGGGACUAUGGAAUUUGCAAUUGCAGAUUAAAAUUGAAGAAGAAAACAUUUGAGUUGCAAAUACCGUAUUAAAAGUGGACACUGCUUAUGACUGCUGUAUGCAACAGUUUUUCAGGCCCGAGAGGAACCCAGACAUGCUCUAUUUGCAAACCGACUGCAUGAAACAAAAAGCACGGUAAUUCUGAAGCUGUUGGCUUGGAUGAAAUGAGAAUGUAAUUAAAAAGAAAAAGGUUAGCAAAAGAACAUGCUGGGAAUUGAAAAUAAAAAUCUGAAAUGAUGUCCCAGCCUGCCCUUAAGGUCUUUUCCACCAUGUAGAGAGCUACCUCAAAUGCUCUACUUGUCCCAGAGUCUAUGUUCUUUCACUACUAUU
RNAcentral lists this long non-coding RNA (1083 nucleotides) under Homo sapiens (human). RNAcentral's name for it is "HSALNT0376730". Lineage: Eukaryota; Metazoa; Chordata; Mammalia; Primates; Hominidae. The record is from RNAcentral.